This 253-nucleotide ribosomal RNA is filed under the name uncultured bacterium. RNAcentral describes it as "partial 16S ribosomal RNA". It matches the Rfam family "Bacterial small subunit ribosomal RNA", at positions 524 to 776 of the family's 1533-position model. The record is from RNAcentral.
UACGUAGGUGGCAAGCGUUAUCCGGAAUUACUGGGCGUAAAGCGCACGCAGGCGGUCUUUUAAGUUUGACGUGAAAGCUCCCUGCUUAACUGGGAGAGGUCGUUGAAGACUGGAAGACUUGAGGCAAUGAGAGGGGUGUAGAAUUCCCGGUGUAGUGGUGGAAUGCGUAGAUAUCGGGGGGAAUACCAGUGGCGAAAGCGGCACCCUAGCGUUAGCCUGACGCUCAUGUGCGAAAGCGUGGGGAGCGAACGGG